AAUACUACCUAGUGACCGAUAGCGUAUAGUACCGUGAGGGAAAGGUGAAAAGAACCCCGGGAGGGGAGUGAAAUAGAACCUGAAACCCUGCACUUACAAGCUGUGGAAGCACAUUUCUUGUGUGACCGCGUACUUUUUGUAGAACGGGCCAACGAGUUACGUUAAGUAGCAAGGUUAAGCACUUAAGGUGUGGAGCCGUAGCGAAAGCGAGUUUUAACUGAGCGUUCAGUUACUUGACGUAGACCCGAAACCGGGCGACCUACCCAUGAGCAGGAUGAAGCGAAAGUAAAAUUUCGUGGAGGUCCGAACCCACGAGCG
Molecule: ribosomal RNA, 318 nt
Filed under: Clostridioides difficile
Lineage: Bacteria; Bacillati; Bacillota; Clostridia; Peptostreptococcales; Peptostreptococcaceae
Description: partial 23S ribosomal RNA
Rfam family: Bacterial large subunit ribosomal RNA
Source: RNAcentral